CCAGACUCCUACGGGAGGCAGCAGUGGGGAAUAUUGGGCAAUGGGCGAAAGCCUGACCCAGCAACGCCGCGUGAAGGAAGAAGGCUUUCGGGUUGUAAACUUCUUUUGACAGGGAAGAGCAGAAGACGGUACCUGUCGAAUAAGCCACGGCUAACUACGUGCCAGCAGCCGCGGUAAUACGUAGGGGGCAAGCGUUAUCCGGAUUUACUGGGUGUAAAGGGAGCGUAGACGGCAUGGCAAGUCAGAUGUGAAAGCCCGGGGCUCAACCCCGGGACUGCAUUUGAAACUGUUUUUCUUGAGUACUGGAGAGGCAGACGGAAUUCCUAGUGUAGCGGUGAAAUGCGUAGAUAUUAGGAGGAACACCAGUGGCGAAGGCGGUCUGCUGGACAGCAACUGACGCUGGGGCGCGAAAGCGUGGGGAGCAAACAGGAUUAGAUACCCUAGUAA
This 447-nucleotide ribosomal RNA is filed under the name uncultured bacterium. Its description in RNAcentral is "bacterial SSU rRNA". It matches the Rfam family "Bacterial small subunit ribosomal RNA", at positions 331 to 793 of the family's 1533-position model. The record is from RNAcentral.